RNAcentral lists this ribosomal RNA (274 nucleotides) under uncultured bacterium. RNAcentral describes it as "partial 16S ribosomal RNA". It matches the Rfam family "Bacterial small subunit ribosomal RNA", at positions 523 to 796 of the family's 1533-position model. The record is from RNAcentral.
AUACGGAGGGAGCGAGCGUUAAUCGGAAUUACUGGGCGUAAAGCGCGCGUAGGCGGCUUUGUAAGUCGGAUGUGAAAGCCCUGGGCUCAACCUGGGAAUGGCAUUCGAAACUGCAGAGCUAGAGUAUGGUAGAGGGAAGUGGAAUUUCCGGUGUAGCGGUGAAAUGCGUAGAUAUCGGAAGGAACACCAGUGGCGAAGGCGACUUCCUGGGCCAAUACUGACGCUGAGGUGCGAAAGCGUGGGGAGCAAACAGGAUUAGAAACCCGGGUAGUCC